Molecule: ribosomal RNA, 497 nt
Filed under: uncultured bacterium
Lineage: Bacteria
Description: partial 16S ribosomal RNA
Rfam family: Bacterial small subunit ribosomal RNA
Source: RNAcentral
GAUGAACGCUGGCGGCGUGCCUAAUACAUGCAAGUCGAGCGAACGGACGAGAAGCUUGCUUCUCUGAUGUUAGCGGCGGACGGGUGAGUGACACGUGGAUAACCUACCUAUAAGACUGGGAUAACUUCGGGAAACCGGAGCUAAUACCGGAUAAUAUUUUGAACCGCAUGGCUCAAAAGUGAAAGACGGUCUUGCUGUCACUUAUAGAUGGAUCCGCGCUGCAUUAGCUAGUUGGUAAGGUAACGGCUUACCAAGGCAACGAUGCAUAGCCGACCUGAGAGGGUGAUCGGCCACACUGGAACUGAGACACGGUCCAGACUCCUACGGGAGGCAGCAGUAGGGAAUCUUCCGCAAUGGGCGAAAGCCUGACGGAGCAACGCCGCGUGAGUGAUGAAGGUCUUCGGAUCGUAAAACUCUGUUAUUAGGGAAGAACAUAUGUGUAAGUAACUGUGCACAUCUUGACGGUACCUAAUCAGAAAGCCACGGCUAACUACGUG